CUCUUUCUACCAUUAAUUUUGCACGCCUUUUUUCACGUUUCUCGCUCUAUUAAUCAAUUAAAGGUAGCACAUGUUUCUCUUUCUAUUAAUUAAUUAAAGAUAGAAACUCUUUCAAGCUUUAAACUUAUUUUCCAAAAUCAGAUUAAGAUUCAAAUCCUUAUUCAACUACAUCUCUAUCAAUCUUUCACAAAAUUAGAUUUUUUAUUUUUCGACCAUCAAAUUCGCAAUAUAGCAUGAUUUUCGGAAAAUAAUCGUGUUGUAUGGAUCAUCAAACAGAAUCUGGGUUGUUGAAUACAAUGUAUAAACCAAAUUCCCUAAGGAGAUUCACAAGAGGUACAAACUAUACUGGUAACUUCAUGGUUGAAAUACCAUCUUUUGAUCUAUAUAUAACUCGAAUUCAAUCGCAAAUCUCAAGCUAUACAGUUGCGAUGGAAUUAGAGAAGAAAUAGAAGGAUGAAUUAGUAAGGUCUAGUCCUUCUAAAAGGAAAGUAGUGUCAACAGUGAAAGCAAUCGGAAAAAAAUAUUACAAAUGGAGGAAAGUAAAAAAUUUGAUCCCUGACAUGAUUGGAGAACCGGUUGUUAAUGAAGAAAAAGACAAAGUGAGUGAGGAAUCACAUAGUUGAUCAAUUUCUUCUUCUUCUUCUCUUCUUGGUGUGUGAAACCAAGAGAUGAUUUUUGACUUGUCACAAAAAUCUAGCAGUACAGAUCUUGUAACAUUCAUGUCUGCAUGUUGUAUAAAAUAUAUCUAACUAUAUAUAUCAUAAUAUAUUAAAUGUUGUAUUUAAUAGUA
Molecule: long non-coding RNA, 790 nt
Organism: Solanum lycopersicum (tomato)
Lineage: Eukaryota; Viridiplantae; Streptophyta; Magnoliopsida; Solanales; Solanaceae
Source: RefSeq, a predicted model, not a curated record